Molecule: non-coding RNA, 28 nt
Filed under: Bombyx mori (domestic silkworm)
Lineage: Eukaryota; Metazoa; Arthropoda; Insecta; Lepidoptera; Bombycidae
Source: RNAcentral
UAACUUCUUGGGCUAUCACAUAAACAGU